Molecule: long non-coding RNA, 489 nt
Organism: Carya illinoinensis
Lineage: Eukaryota; Viridiplantae; Streptophyta; Magnoliopsida; Fagales; Juglandaceae
Exons: 3
Source: RefSeq, a predicted model, not a curated record
CACAUUCACUUCAAGUUAAUUUCCACUCCCAUGAUAAUUUUCUGUGAAAUGAAUUUCAUUUGUGCAGUCCGUGGGUUUUGGGGAUUUUUCCUACUUUGUAGUGCGAUUUUGGGUUGCUGUUGACAAUCUCCCACAGCAAAUAUAAUUCUCUGCCGUUCAAUAAAUAUGCGUUCUUGACAACCCAUAAUGCUUAUGCUAUCGAUGGAGAGCCAUCUCACACAGGAGUUCCUUGGAUUACCCUCGUAAAUCAAGAAGAUACUGUCACUCAACAGCUAAAUAAUGGAGUUCACGGCUUGAUGCUCGAUACGUAUGAUUUUCAAGGAGAUGUUUUGUGACGCCCCCAAUUCUCACGUAUGGACACGUGGAAAAUCGAAGCAUCGAGAUGAUGACAACACGGGUCACCAUCCUAUCGCCAAGUGCCAAGUGUGUAUACGUGCAACAAGUGUACAAUAAAAACACACAGCAGAUAAUAAAAGUCUUAUAACUAAG